This 303-nucleotide ribosomal RNA is filed under the name uncultured bacterium. Its description in RNAcentral is "partial 16S ribosomal RNA". It matches the Rfam family "Bacterial small subunit ribosomal RNA", at positions 507 to 807 of the family's 1533-position model. The record is from RNAcentral.
AGCAGCCGCCGCGGGAAAACGUAGGUGGCAAGCGUUGUCCGGAAUUAUUGGGCGUAAAGGGCUCGCAGGCGGUUUCUUAAGUCUGAUGUGAAAGCCCCCGGCUCAACCGGGGAGGGUCAUUGGAAACUGGGAAACUUGAGUGCAGAAGAGGAGAGCGGAAUUCCACGUGUAGCGGUGAAAUGCGUCGAGAUGUGGAGGAACACCAGUGGCGAAGGCGACUCUCUGGUCUGUAACUGACGCUGAGGAGCGAAAGCGUGGGGAGCGAACAGGAUUAGAUACCCGCGUAGUCCCUGUCUCUUAUAC